This 423-nucleotide ribosomal RNA is filed under the name uncultured bacterium. RNAcentral describes it as "bacterial SSU rRNA". It matches the Rfam family "Bacterial small subunit ribosomal RNA", at positions 356 to 772 of the family's 1533-position model. The record is from RNAcentral.
GGGGAAUUGUUCACAAUGGGCGCAAGCCUGAUGACGCAACGCCGCGUGGAGGAUGAAGGUCUUCGGAUUGUAAACUCCUGUUGCCCGGGACGAAUGGCUCCGACCUAAUACGUCGGAGUGUGACGGUACCGGGUGAGGAAGCCCCGGCUAACUCUGUGCCAGCAGCCGCGGUAAUACGGAGGGUGCAAGCGUUAUCCGGAUUCACUGGGUUUAAAGGGUGCGUAGGCGGGCAGGUAAGUCAGUGGUGAAAUCUCCGGGCUUAACUCGGAAACUGCCGUUGAUACUAUCUGUCUUGAAUUCUGUGGAGGUGAGCGGAAUAUGUCAUGUAGCGGUGAAAUGCUUAGAUAUGACAUAGAACACCAAUUGCGAAGGCAGCUCACUACACAGCGAUUGACGCUGAGGCACGAAAGCGUGGGGAUCAAA